This 226-nucleotide ribosomal RNA is filed under the name uncultured bacterium. RNAcentral describes it as "partial 16S ribosomal RNA". It matches the Rfam family "Bacterial small subunit ribosomal RNA", at positions 118 to 351 of the family's 1533-position model. The record is from RNAcentral.
UGGAUGACCUGCCCUUCAGCGGGGAAUAACCCGGGGAAACUCGGGCUAAUACCGCAUACGACCGAGAGGUGAAAGGGGCCGCAAGGCUCUCACUGAAGGAGGGGUCCGCGUUCGAUUAGCUAGUUGGUAGGGUAAUGGCCUACCAAGGCGACGAUCGAUAGCCGGCCUGAGAGGGUGAUCGGCCACACUGGAACUGAGACACGGCCCAGACUCCUACGGGAGGCAG